Molecule: ribosomal RNA, 239 nt
Filed under: uncultured bacterium
Lineage: Bacteria
Description: partial small subunit ribosomal RNA
Rfam family: Bacterial small subunit ribosomal RNA
Source: RNAcentral
AGGAUAAACGCUGGCGGCGUGCCUAACACAUGCAAGUCGAACGUCCUACGCAAGUAGGGAGUGGCGGACGGGUGAGUAACACGUGGGCAAUCUACCUUUCGGUGAGGAAUACCGGCGAGAAAUCGCCGACAAUACCGCAUACGCUUCGCAAGAAGCAAAGUCGCAAGACGCCGGAGGAGGAGCCUGCGCCCGAUUAGCUGGUUGGUGGAGUAAUGGCCUACCAAGGCGACGACGGGUAG